UCUUCUGUUCGAUUUCUGCAGAGUGAUUGUGAGUUGCGUGUGAUGAUAUCGAAGUAAAUCAUAUGAAGAAGAGAUGGAUUAGGAAGUAACUGUUGGUGGAGGUGUAGAUCGAGACAAGAAGAAGUGGAUGCUGUUAUAAAUAGAAUUAGGGCUGGCAUGAUGAUUGAGAGGUGAAAUAGGUUGUUGUUAGAUGAGGAACAUAAGGGUUGUAGUCGAAUUGAAGUUAUGAAGUGGAUUCUGUGAAGAAUCGAAGGGUUAGAGUUUCUGCAAAUUGAAUUGAAAUUCAAUUUAGGGUCUUAUGAAAUUAAACUCAAAGAAGAUUUAUUUGAGGUCUAAGGGGGAUGAUUGAAGGAUGGGUUUUGAAGAUUAGGAGUUGAAGAAUAGAUUAGUGAUGUUGAUUUGAAGAUACAGUUACAAAGAAGUUAAGAAGAUCGGAAUUAGAGUUUCUCUGAGAAGAUUUAGAAAGUGAAGCAGAUGCUAUGAUAAAUGAUUAGGAGUGGGUUUAGUAGAUUUAGGAACGGGGUGAAGUUAAUUAAAUGUUGGAGUUGUUCUGAAGUUAAAUCGAGGAUGAAUCAGAUAGUUAGGGUUUACUGUAUUUUGAUUUGGAACUUGAUUCGAGUAAGAAUUAAAAAGAGUUAGAUGGAAUUAUGAGACGGGUUUGUUUAAUUGAGGCUUCUGAAGUUGUUGUGGUGAUAAAUUGAGAAAAUCAGAGUUUCAGCUCUGUGAAAGAAAUAAAAGAGAAUUAGGGUUCUUGAGUCUCAACUACAGAUAAAUAAGAUGUAAGUGACGGUUUAGAUAAUUGUUUGGAAAUGGGUUCUAUGGAUAUGAAGAAUUGGGUUGUUGUUCUUAGUUCGAGUUAGAGAAGUUUUAGAGUUAAGGAUUGGGUGUGAUGAUUGGAAGUGCAGUUAAGGUGUUGUAAUUGGUUGGAAGAUCAGCUGGGUGUGUAUGUUGAUUGUUGCAGGACAUGUGUGUUGCUUUGAAUGCAUCCAAAAAUUAUUAAUGAAGACUAAAUGGUUGAGGUAAUGAUUCUCCUCUGUAAUCUUAGUUAGGUAUUAAAAUUUCUAGUCGUUGAAGUUAUGAAAUGCCAUGAACUAAGAUGUGAUUUGGUGGUGGUUAUGUAGUUGUCAUCUUAAUUCUGAACUGAAGUAUGGACUUGUGGAUGUUGAUAAUUCUAGGAUGUUUAGACGAUUAAUGAUUUGAGUCUAAGGAAGGUGUUGCUGCUGUUGUUGUUUUGUUGUUGAUGGAUGAGAGAUUUGAAGAGAUGGGUGUGAGUAAUUGUGUUUAUGGAUUGAGUAUGGUCUCAAAUGAAUUGUUGCAGGUGGUGGUGUUUAUGAGUAACAUGCCUUUAGAGAUGAAACUGUUAGUGUUAAUACUCAAUGGAGAAGGGCUAGAUGGAGUUGCAUUUGUUGAAGUGGUGUUGUAUCAUCACAGUGAAUGGGGAAGAGAUGGUGUUGCUACAUUUGUUUGUGCAAUGAACUGAGUUAAUGGAUUGUAGAAGUUUGAAUGGCAAGCAGUGUGGGUGCUGACAUGAAUUUAGUAUUUAAGAGGUAUUAGGUGAUGGAACUGGGAUGUUAUUACAGUUCAUUAGAAUGUGUUAAUGUUAUGAGAGUUGUGGUUGAGCUGAGGGAUAAGGGGAUUGUGAAAUUGUAUGAUGUUGUAGAAUGAAGAGAGGUUAGAUGGUUGAUUAUACAGUUGUAGAUAGUGUUUCUGUGAAAGCUUGGAACUGCAAUGUCAGUUUCAGAGACAGAUCAAAAUUGCGCAGCGAAAGCUUCGAGGAGUUGAGUCCGUUAGUUGGUUGACUUUCACUAUAUUUAUUAUAUUAUAUGUUGUAUUUGUAAACCAAAUGACUAUUGUAUAUGUAUCAUUGGAGAGGAGUUCUUGUAUAUAUAUAUUUCUGAGCGGGCUAGUUUUGGGUUAAGUUUUGUAGCAGAUUUCUUAAUUGAAUGUUUAAGUAAUUGAUUUA
Molecule: long non-coding RNA, 1963 nt
Organism: Papaver somniferum (opium poppy)
Lineage: Eukaryota; Viridiplantae; Streptophyta; Magnoliopsida; Ranunculales; Papaveraceae
Exons: 2
Source: RefSeq, a predicted model, not a curated record